UACGUAGGGGGCAAGCGUUGUCCGGAUUCAUUGGGCGUAAAGAGCGUGUAGGCGGCCAGGUAGGUCGGUUGUGAAAACUGGAGGCUCAACCUUCAGAGGUCGACCGAAACCAUCUGGCUAGAGUCCGGGAGAGGAGAGUGGAAUUCCUGGUGUAGCGGUGAAAUGCGCAGAUAUCAGGAAGAACACCUAUGGCGAAGGCAGCACUCUGGGACGGUACUGACGCUGAGACGCGAAAGCGUGGGGAGCGAACAGG
Molecule: ribosomal RNA, 253 nt
Filed under: uncultured bacterium
Lineage: Bacteria
Description: partial 16S ribosomal RNA
Rfam family: Bacterial small subunit ribosomal RNA
Source: RNAcentral